CCCGUAAAUAAUGGGAAAAAAUGACGGUACCCAUAAAGGAAGCACCGGCUAACUCCGUGCCAGCAGCCGCGGUAAUACGGGGGGUGCAAGCGUUGUUCGGAAUUAUUGGGCGUAAAGCGCGUGUAGGCGGCUCCUUAAGUCUGAUGUGAAAGCCCCGGGCUAACCCAGGAAGUGCACUGGAAACUGGUAGACUUGAGUGCAAGAGAGGGAAGUGGAAUUCCUAGUGUAGCGGUGAAAUGCGUAGAUAUUAGGAGGAACACCAGUGGCGAAGGCGACUUCCUGGCUUGUAACUGACACUGAGGCGCGAAAGCGUGGGGAUCAAACAGGAUUAGAUACCCUGGUAGUCCACGCCGUAAACGAUGAGUGCUAGGUGUCGGGGGUAUCGACCCCCUCGGUGCCACAGCUAACGCAAUAAGCACUCCGCCUGGGGAGUACGGUCGCAAGACUGAAACUCAAAGGAAUUGACGGGGGCCCGCACAAGCGGUGGAGUAUGUGGUUUAAUUCGACGCAACGCGAAGAACCUUACCUGGGCUUGACAUCCCGAUCGUACCUGCUGGAAACAGUGGGGUCAGUUCGGCUGGAUCGGAGACAGGUGCUGCAUGGCUGUCGUCAGCUCGUGUCGUGAGAUGUUGGGUUAAGUCCCGCAACGAGCGCAACCCUUGUCCUUAGUUGCCAUCAUUUAGUUGGGCACUCUAAGGAGACUGCCGGUGUUAAACCGGAGGAAGGUGGGGAUGACGUCAAGUCCUCAUGGCCCUUAUGUCCAGGGCUACACACGUGCUACAAUGGCCGGUACAAAGGGUUGCGAUACCGCGAGGUGGAGCCAAUCUCAAAAAGCCGGUCUCAGUUCGGAUUGGAGUCUGCAACUCGACUCCAUGAAGUUGGAAUCGCUAGUAAUCGCAGGUCAGCAUACUGCGGUGAAUACGUUCCCGGGCCUUGUACACACCGCCCGUCACACCACGGGAGUCGAUUGUACCUGAAGUCGGUGGGCUAACCCGCAAGGGAAGCAGCCGCCUAUGGUAUGGUCGGUGACUGGGGUGAAGUCGUAACAAGGUAACC
RNAcentral lists this ribosomal RNA (1056 nucleotides) under uncultured bacterium. RNAcentral's name for it is "bacterial SSU rRNA". It matches the Rfam family "Bacterial small subunit ribosomal RNA", at positions 453 to 1501 of the family's 1533-position model. The record is from RNAcentral.